Lycium barbarum (goji berry) is the source of this 2696-nucleotide long non-coding RNA. RefSeq lists it as uncharacterized. The record is from RefSeq and is a predicted model, not a curated record. The transcript has 2 exons. Lineage: Eukaryota; Viridiplantae; Streptophyta; Magnoliopsida; Solanales; Solanaceae.
UCUAAUAUGUGAAGCCUCCCCAAAUAGGGUAAGGUACGCUCUACUCUCUCCAAAUCCCACUUUGUGGGAUUUCACUGGGUAUGUUGUUGUUGAGUAUGUGAAGCCUGGUAUAAGUGCAUCUAGGGCCAGUCAUUUUUCGCUUCUCCAUUACUUGGGCUGAACAUGUGAACUUAUUCAAACUAUUUGCUACUUACACUUUUACCAGUCACCACCUUACCUCCUUUGCACCCUCGACUGAUAUCACAUCCUAUCAAAUUUAUGUCCAACCAAGCGAGAAGUAACUUAGAAAAUGGUCUUGUAUUAUUCUUUUUUUAAUUGCGUAGAACAUUUUACAUCAUAUUAGAGUAUCUUAUUUCAUAUGAAGUUUGACAGGCAUGUGACAGAAAGUGUGCUCAAGCGCAUUUUCGGGUUGGAAGAUCGUAGUUCUGGUAACACUAGUGUGUUGUGAAAGAUGAAUACAACGUUUAGUUGUUGAAUAGACUCUUUUGUUAGUUACGGUGAUUUGCAAAUAAAAUUAAGUUGGUGAGUGUGAGCAUCAUUAAAAGAUAACCCCUCCAACUUAAGACGUUCUACUUUGAUGUUUGCCACAGCUAUAUAUUCUAUAAUGUCGAAAUGAACUUAGUAAUAUUAGGUAUGACAUGAUUGUUUCGGUUUCAUAUUAUUUUUACUUACCAAGCAAGCUUUGAGUCUUUGUCUUUUAGAUAGGACAUUUUUUCUCCUUAUCUUGUACCUGUCCGUCGGUUGAUAAGCUUAUAGCAGCAAAGACGAUGUGCUAAGCUUAUUUCUCUUCCUUUCAUGGAUAUUAAGAGUAGAUAUCCGAGGGGUUUCAUGCACAUUUUCUUUUCUUCUUAAAGCUAUAGCAUGUUGAUUUACUGAUGUGAAUGGCAGUCUUAUGCUGUCAAGAUUAGUGAUUUCAAUUCUUUUCUUCUUACACUUGUGGCAUGUUGAUUUUCUGAUGCGAAUAAUUGUUGUGUGCUGUAUGUAUACUUUGCCCAUAUAGUUUGGAGAUUCCUUCAUUUUCUUGUUCAUUUCUGCAGAUUCUAACUGACCGACUGACGAUAACUGAUUAUUGUUAUAUGAUGCCUCCCGAGGGCACAAGGCUUGAAUGUCGAAGUUUACCUCCAUAUACACUUAGCAACCUUCCUGAUGAUGUAAUCGAUGCCCUUCUAAUGUGUUUGCCUUUGCGAGAUGUUGUGAGGACAAGCAUCUUAUUUAAGAAAUAGAGGUAUAUCUGGAGCAGCCUUCCGCAAUUGACGCUGAUCAAACACUUUGGAAUACGACAAAGGACUUCAUAUCCCCGAUAGUUAAAUUUACAAACAAUAUCUAUCACACUUUGACCCUUCAUUCCUGACCGAUUAAGAAAUUUACCCCCCGCAUCGCUAACCUAGAGAACUGCCCUAAAUUUGACAACUUGAUGUAUUUUCUUUCUAAGAAUGACAUUCAGGAUCUUGUUGUUCAUCUUCCAAACAAAAACUCAUACAAACAUUAAUUGCCACCUUCAUUUUUCACAUGUUUGGGGAUGAGGCAUCUGUCUCUCGAAAAUUGUUUUUACAUCAUCCACCGGACUUCAAUGGAUUUGAUAGGUUAGUUAGCCUAGAACUGUAUGAAGUCACAAUUACUUUCAAAUCACUUGAAAUUUUAGUCAAUCACAGCCUGUUUCUUGAGCGUUUGGUGCUACAAGAAUUAUAUAUUCAAGAUCAUAUUCAAGUUAGUGCUGCCAAGCUAAGAUACUUCAAUUUCACAGACAUUAUAAUAUCUGUUUCUUUAAAAAAUGUCCCUCUUCUUGAGGAACUUUCACUUUGGGAUCCGAAAUCUUCUGAAAAUGCAGGGGAAUCUGAUAUUUCCAAGUUGUUUGAGUGUUGUCUUGAUAUUAAGUAUCUCCACGUGAAUCACAGUGUUGUCCAGGAAACUGUUGAUUCACAACUUCAUUGUAAUGUAUUUUCCUAUAACAUCUUUUCGGCUCUGAGUCAUCCUAAUUUUUGGCAUUUGUCUUCCUAGUCCUUGGCUACAGGAGCUGGUGAAGUACCAACAAGGCUUCCUUGUGCUUUUAACCGUCUUAGACGUCUUCGCUUAUCUGAUAUUAGUCUGAGAGAAUUAGAUGAGGUUUCAGGUGCCUUUUGCUUGAUCAGAAGCUGCCCAUAUUUACAUGAUAUGGAAAUAGAGGUGUUCAAUGACGAUGAUAGUGAAAUUCCUGCACUAGAUUCCCUUGAAAGCUUCGCAGAUGUGACAUUUAAUCACCUCAGAACAGUUAAACUAGAAGGCAUUAUAGGAACAAAGCUCGAGAUGCAGCUUAUCAAGAUUCUAUUAGCCAAGGCCCCAGUGUUGAUAAGGAUGCAAAUAGAGCCUGGGGUAGGAGAUAACUCUCCACAAACAAGACUCCAAGUACUUGUAGAACUAACAAGAUUUCGUCGUGCAUCAACUGAAGCAGUUGUGUAUAACUUAGACUGCAAUGCAGUUUGAUCUUAUCUUUUGGCAGACCAUGAUCUUGGCUAAAAGUGCUCUGGCAGUUAAAAAUCAAUAGAUCGAAAUUAAUGUCGAGGCAGUAGUAUAAGGUUGUGUUUUUUCCUAUCUCACAGUUGAUAGAAGACUUGGAUGUUUUAACUUAGCUUGUUUGUCACUGUGGCAAUGCUCAGUGUUUAAAUUUCAUGCUUGUUAUUGAUUGAUCUAUGAAAUGAGACAUAGCAUGAAUUGACACU